Bactrocera oleae (olive fruit fly) is the source of this 774-nucleotide non-coding RNA. The record is from RefSeq and is a predicted model, not a curated record. NCBI's taxonomy places the organism in Eukaryota, Metazoa, Arthropoda, Insecta, Diptera, Tephritidae.
CUUUUAACAGCUAGAAAACAAACCUGCUAUGUAACUUGAACAAAUUCUGACACUUUGCAGUUUUGGAAAAAAAUAUAAUUAUCUUAUAUCAGAGCAUAUUCAAUCAUAGAGUUACAAAAAGAAAAAUAUUAAUCGUAAAAAGUAAUGUUUGCAAUAAAUAGAGACGGAAUUACUAUGUACAUAUGUAUGAAAAAAUUUCUAAUAUAAUUCUGGCUGUAUAACUUUGCUAGUACAUAUAUUAUUUUAAAGUGACAAGUAAUUAAAUAAACGGUGCUUCUUCUAAAAGCGUUAACAUGGACCCGAAUACGAUGAAACGCAGUUUUAAACAGGACGACAAUGCUUGCGGUUCUUUGCGUGGUAAGAAAAUGAAAGCUCAGUUCUACGGAAUUCUACUGUUUUUGCUUGCUGUGGCUUUGUUUAUUGUUUGUUGUAGUUAUUUUUGCCCAAAAUUAGGUGAUAAGCUAAUUGGUGUAAUAAUAACGCUGUUUUGAAAACUGGCCGCAUUAAAUAAACGCAUAAAUUGUACAAAACGUAACUUUUUCCAAUUUACUGAAGUGAAAAUCGUAUCCUGCCUCAUUAAAAUGUAUGAAAAAGCUGCAUCAUAUGUAUAAAUAAAAUUACAAUUCAACACAAGAGAGUGACAUCAUUAAAAUUGCAUAAAUACUUCCUAUUAUUUUAGCUCUCUUUGUUUAUUUAUAUAGUUCAUACCAAAUGAUUGUAAAAACCAAUGAAAAGCAAUGAAAAUGAAAUGGAAGGGCUUAUUGUUGAAAUAUA